CAGUAGCCACGGUAAAACGUAGGUCCCGAGCGUUGUCCGGAUUUAUUGGGCGUAAAGCGAGCGCAGGCGGUUAGAUAAGUCUGAAGUUAAAGGCUGUGGCUUAACCAUAGUAUGCUUUGGAAACUGUUUAACUUGAGUGCAGAAGGGGAGAGUGGAAUUCCAUGUGUAGCGGUGAAAUGCGUAGAUAUAUGGAGGAACACCGGUGGCGAAAGCGGCUCUCUGGUCUGUAACUGACGCUGAGGCUCGAAAGCGUGGGGAGCAAACAGGAUUAGAUACCCGGGUAGUCCCUGUCUCUUAUACC
Molecule: ribosomal RNA, 301 nt
Filed under: uncultured bacterium
Lineage: Bacteria
Description: partial 16S ribosomal RNA
Rfam family: Bacterial small subunit ribosomal RNA
Source: RNAcentral